CAAGGUUUCCGUAGGUGAACCUGCGGAAGGAUCAUUACCGAGUUCUCGGGCUUCGGCUCGAAUCUCCCACCCUUUGUGAACAUACCUCUGUUGCUUUGGCGGCUCUUUGCCGCGAGGAGGCCCUCGCGGGCCCCCCCGCGCGCUUUCCGCCAGAGGACCUUCAAACUCCAGUCAGUAAACGUCGACGUCUGAUAAACAAGUUAAUAAACUAAAACUUUCAACAACGGAUCUCUUGGUUCUGGCAUCGAUGAAGAACGCAGCGAAAUGCGAUAAGUAAUGUGAAUUGCAGAAUUCAGUGAAUCAUCGAAUCUUUGAACGCACAUUGCGCCCCCUGGCAUUCCGGGGGGCAUGCCUGUUCGAGCGUCAUUACAACCCUCAAGCUCUGCUUGGUAUUGGGCGCCGUCCUCUCUGCGGACGCGCCUUAAAGACCUCGGCGGUGGCUGUUCAGCCCUCAAGCGUAGUAGAAUACACCUCGCUUUGGAGCGGUUGGCGUCGCCCGCCGGACGAACCUUCUGAACUUUUCUCAAGGUUGACCUCGGAUCAGGUAGGGAUACCCGCUG
RNAcentral lists this ribosomal RNA (560 nucleotides) under Diplodia seriata. RNAcentral describes it as "eukaryotic LSU rRNA". The stretch from base 213 to 366 matches the Rfam family "5.8S ribosomal RNA". The record is from RNAcentral. Lineage: Eukaryota; Fungi; Ascomycota; Dothideomycetes; Botryosphaeriales; Botryosphaeriaceae.